CCUACGGGUGGCAGUAGUGAGGAAUAUUGGUCAAUGGACGAGAGUCUGAACCAGCCAAGUAGCGUGAAGGAUGACUGCCCUAUGGGUUGUAAACUUCUUUUAUAUGGGAAUAAAACGUUCCACGUGUGGGAUUUUGUAUGUACCAUAUGAAUAAGGAUCGGCUAACUCCGUGCCAGCAGCCGCGGUAAUACGGAGGAUCCGAGCGUUAUCCGGAUUUAUUGGGUUUAAAGGGAGCGUAGGUGGAUUGUUAAGUCAGUUGUGAAAGUUUGCGGCUCAACCGUAAAAUUGUAGUUGAAACUGGCAGUCUUGAGUACAGUAGAGGUGGGCGGAAUUCGUGGUGUAGCGGUGAAAUGCUUAGAUAUCACGAAGAACUCCGAUUGCGAAGGCAGUUCACUGGACUGCAACUGACACUGAGGCUCGAAAGUGUGGGUAUCAAACAGGAUUAGAUACCCCUGUAGUC
RNAcentral lists this ribosomal RNA (460 nucleotides) under uncultured bacterium. Its description in RNAcentral is "partial 16S ribosomal RNA". It matches the Rfam family "Bacterial small subunit ribosomal RNA", at positions 338 to 795 of the family's 1533-position model. The record is from RNAcentral.